RNAcentral lists this long non-coding RNA (450 nucleotides) under Salmo salar (Atlantic salmon). RNAcentral describes it as "lncRNA (ENSSSAG00000086146.1)". Lineage: Eukaryota; Metazoa; Chordata; Actinopteri; Salmoniformes; Salmonidae. The record is from RNAcentral.
CUUCCAUUCUCUCCCUCCAUGUCUUAAGUGCUACAGGAAUGAGCAGAACACCCUGACUCUGACGACAGUGACAAAGAAAUAGUGAAAGAAAGGAAGGAGAGAAGCAGAGGAAGAGAGAGGGAGAGGAAGAGGGAGGGAGGCGAGAGAAAGAGAGUGAAGAAAGGAAGAGAGAGGGAGAGGAAGAGGGAAAGGGAGAAGGAGACCGGUUGCAGACUGACUUUCAGACAACUGGAAGAGAGGAAGCUAAGAGAGAGCUUUACCGUCGCCAUCUCAAUCAUGACUUUGGAUGGGGAGUUUUGAAGUGUUUCUGCUGAGAAAGCCAAACUACUACUCUCAGAGAAGGAGGCGUGGUUUUGAACCUGAGGUGGUGCCACACCCAACCCAGCUGAUUCCAGAUGGAAGUGGAUGCGGUUGAGAAGCGCCAUCGAACGCGUUCCAAAGGGGUCCGAG